Molecule: unclassified non-coding RNA, 203 nt
Filed under: Hevea brasiliensis (rubber tree)
Lineage: Eukaryota; Viridiplantae; Streptophyta; Magnoliopsida; Malpighiales; Euphorbiaceae
Source: RNAcentral
GGAGACGUGGAUUCUGUCCAUCACAUUGAUUUUCGGGGCGUCAAGUAUCGCUUUUGGCAGGGAUAACGCCCAUUGCAUUCCCCAGAUGGACAGCGGUCUCAUAUAAAUGAGGGAUCUGUAGUGCCCAUCCGUGGACCAUGCCUCUGGAGUCUGGAACCAGUACCCAAAUCCUUCUUCUGACCACCCAGCAAGGAAGAUACCCU